AUUGAACGCUGGCGGCAGGCCUAACACAUGCAAGUCGAACGGUAACAGGGAUCAGCUUGCUGAUUCGCUGACGAGUGGCGGACGGGUGAGUAAUGUCUGGGAAACUGCCUGAUGGAGGGGGAUAACUACUGGAAACGGUAGCUAAUACCGCAUAACGUCGCAAGACCAAAGAGGGGGACCUUCGGGCCUCUUGCCAUCGGAUGUGCCCAGAUGGGAUUAGCUAGUAGGUGGGGUAACGGCUCACCUAGGCGACGAUCCCUAGCUGGUCUGAGAGGAUGACCAGCCACACUGGAACUGAGACACGAUCCAGACUCCUACGGGAGGCAGCAGUGGGGAAUAUUGCACAAUGGGCGCAAGCCUGAUGCAGCCAUGCCGCGUGUAUGAAGAAGGCCUUCGGGUUGUAAAGUACUUUCAGCGGGGAGGAAGGGAGUAAAGUUAAUACCUUUGCUCAUUGACGUUACCCGCAGAAGAAGCACCGGCUAACUCCGUG
This 490-nucleotide ribosomal RNA is filed under the name uncultured bacterium. Its description in RNAcentral is "partial 16S ribosomal RNA". It matches the Rfam family "Bacterial small subunit ribosomal RNA", at positions 30 to 507 of the family's 1533-position model. The record is from RNAcentral.